CAGUCGCCACGGGAAUACGAAGGGGGCUAGCGUUGCUCGGAAUGACUGGGCGUAAAGGGCGCGUAGGCGGUAGGUACAGUUGGAUGUGAAAUCCCUGAGCUUAACUUAGGAAUUGCAUUCGAUACUGGGAAGCUAGAGUAUGGGAGAGGAUGGUAGAAUUCCAGGUGUAGCGGUAAAAUGCGUAGAGAUCUGGAGGAAUACCGAUGGCGAAGGCAGCCAUCUGGCCUAAUACUGACGCUGAGGUACGAAAGCAUGGGGAGCAAACAGGAUUAGAUACCCCUGUAGUCCCUGUCUCUUAUAC
This 301-nucleotide ribosomal RNA is filed under the name uncultured bacterium. RNAcentral describes it as "partial 16S ribosomal RNA". It matches the Rfam family "Bacterial small subunit ribosomal RNA", at positions 509 to 807 of the family's 1533-position model. The record is from RNAcentral.